RNAcentral lists this ribosomal RNA (642 nucleotides) under Triticum aestivum (bread wheat). RNAcentral's name for it is "partial small subunit ribosomal RNA". The record is from RNAcentral. Lineage: Eukaryota; Viridiplantae; Streptophyta; Magnoliopsida; Poales; Poaceae.
AUGGUAUCCCCUUAUAUAGCAAAUGGCAUAUAUGUAAACCCAUAUGCGACAAUUUCGCCACAAAAAGGGAGUUACCUUAGGCCAUGUACGGAAGAUGAACUAACCUCAUAUUGUGAGUCCUUGACCUACAUCCCAAAGGACUCCCAUAUUGCAAGGUCUAUGGGAAUCCUCAGGAUUGAGGAUAUACUAGGUUUUCUCAUGAUCACAAUUUUCCAUAUUUUGUGGAUUGAAGAUUUUCCUAUUUACCGAUAUCUUCAUGGUGAACUUGCUAAGAGGCCAUUCCUACAUAUGCAGAAGAGCCUAUGCUUGAGCAAAACAACAAUCAAUGAAGUAAAAUUAUAUCCCAAGGAUACAUUCUCUUCUCUUGACUUGUGCAUCAUCUUAAUCAAGGCACAACCAUGCAACUUGCACUGUAUCAAUUACCGCACGGUGAACGAAAUACAUAAUUUCGUUGUGCUCACCAUAGACUUUGUCAUCAAGUCUCCUUGGAGCAAGUUGACAGCCAACAACAACAAUAUGGUGACAAUACUCACCAGGGACACCUUCGAGAACAUCAAACCACCUACAAGAUGUCAUGACCAUAUAGGAGGGUGUGGUGGAAACAUUGGCCGUGAUAAAGGAGCAACGGAUGGCAUUGUGUGA